CACGAAACUAGGCGAGCUACCCUGGUACGUAUUGUAGUGUUUAGUAUGUAGCAUAAUAUGGAAAGAUACCAUGGUAGGGGUGAAAGGCUUCCAAGUCUAGGGAUAUCUUGAUGACUUUGAAAAGUAUUUAGUACGAUGACGAUUUAUGAGUGAUAAGGCUUAUAAAAAAUAUGUAAAAUGAUUGUGAAAAGUGCGACAUAGUUUAACCGCUAGUACGUCCCGUGUUUCAAUAUCCUUGUUAUGCCUUAGUAGAAAAUAAAAGUCGAUAAUAAACAUUGCGAAUUAUACAUAAUGUUAGUAUCAGUAAUUUAGUUAUCGCUGAUGAACUCGGCAAUAUUUCUUUCACCUGUUUAUCAAAAACAUAGCCAAUUGCAGGUAUUAUUGGUCCGUUCUGCUCAAUGUAUAUAAAUAGCCGCAGUACCCUGACUGUGCAAAGGUAGCAUAAUCAUUUGGCUUAUAAUUGAAGUCUAGUAUGAAUGAAUACAUGGGGGAAAACUCUAUUGGCGAUAUAACGUAAACUUACUUAGUGGGUGCAAAUACCCACAGCCAAAUAUAAGACGAGAAGACCCCAGAAAUUUUCAUGAAUUAGUAUAACAAAGUUUUUGUUGGGGCAACAUAGUAGCAAUUAACCUACAGUAAAUACACGACAUGUUUUAGCAAGUUGAAAUUACUCUGGGGAUAACAGCGUAAUUCUACAGAGUUUGCGACCUCGAUGUUGGACUAGGGAGCAGAUGUUCAGAA
RNAcentral lists this ribosomal RNA (741 nucleotides) under Amplirhagada sp.'Backsten Ck'. RNAcentral describes it as "partial 16S ribosomal RNA". The stretch from base 252 to 544 matches the Rfam family "Archaeal large subunit ribosomal RNA", at positions 1787 to 2143 of the family's 2987-position model. Lineage: Eukaryota; Metazoa; Mollusca; Gastropoda; Stylommatophora; Camaenidae. The record is from RNAcentral.